Molecule: microRNA precursor, 136 nt
Filed under: Marmota monax (woodchuck)
Lineage: Eukaryota; Metazoa; Chordata; Mammalia; Rodentia; Sciuridae
Source: RNAcentral
UAUAUAUACAUAUAUAUGUAUGUCUCUCUCUAUAUAGAUAUAGAUAUGGAUAUCUAUAUAGAUAUCCAUAGAUAGAUAUAGAUAUCCAUAUCUAUAUCUAUAUAUAGAGAGAGACAUACAUAUAUAUGUAUAUAAA